AUGUCCUUCCAUUCAACGCUCGCCAUCAACUUCUCUCUAAUACUCACUCUGUCGUUCUUAGUAUCACGCCAAUAUCAUCAACCGUCACGCUUACUUCCGCAAGCUGAGUCAGUGCCUCUGCCCGUUCAUCAAUUCUCACGCGCACAACAAUAUUGUAUCUCCAGCCACCAUCGAAUUUCAGUCAUCAGCAUCAUCAGCUCCGCUUCAAGCAUCAUCCGCCGACGAGUUCUUUCGGCCUCUGUUCGUUCCUCACAGCUUGACGUCAUAAACUGUUCUGAAAAGAGGAGAAGAAAAACGUAG
Vicia faba (fava bean) is the source of this 300-nucleotide non-coding RNA. The record is from the annotation of a GenBank genome assembly. Lineage: Eukaryota; Viridiplantae; Streptophyta; Magnoliopsida; Fabales; Fabaceae.